GACGAACGCUGGCGGCGUGCUUAACACAUGCAAGUCGAACGGAGCGCUCGGACAGAAUCCUUCGGGAGGAAGAUCGAGUUAGCUUAGUGGCGGACGGGUGAGUAACGCGUGAGUAACCUGCCUAUCAGAGGGGGAUAACAACUGGAAACGGUUGCUAAUACCGCAUAAGACCCCACGGUCGCAUGGCCGAGAGGUAAAAGGAGCAAUUCACUGAUAGAGGGACUCGCGUCCCAUUAGAUAGUUGGUAUGGGUAACGGCCUACCAAGUCGACGAUGGGUAGCCGGACUGAGAGGUUGAACGGCCACACUGGGACUGAGAUACGGCCCAGACUCCUACGGGAGGCAGCAGUGGGGAAUAUUGGGCAAUGGGCGAAAGCCUGACCCAGCAACGCCGCGUGAAGGAAGAAGGUUUUCGGAUUGUAAACUUCUGUCCUUGGGGAAGAAAAAAAUGACGGUACCCGAGGAGGAAGCCCCGGCUAACUACGUGCCAGCAGCCGCCGGGUAACAC
RNAcentral lists this ribosomal RNA (507 nucleotides) under uncultured bacterium. Its description in RNAcentral is "bacterial SSU rRNA". It matches the Rfam family "Bacterial small subunit ribosomal RNA", at positions 28 to 526 of the family's 1533-position model. The record is from RNAcentral.